UCAGGAUGAACGCUGGCGGCGUGCCUAAUACAUGCAAGUCGAACGAGUUCUCGUUGAUGAUCGGUGCUUGCACCGAGAUUCAACAUGGAACGAGUGGCGGACGGGUGAGUAACACGUGGGUAACCUGCCCUUAAGUGGGGGAUAACAUUUGGAAACAGAUGCUAAUACCGCAUAGAUCCAAGAACCGCAUGGUUCUUGGCUGAAAGAUGGCGUAAGCUAUCGCUUUUGGAUGGACCCGCGGCGUAUUAGCUAGUUGGUGAGGUAAUGGCUCACCAAGGCGAUGAUACGUAGCCGAACUGAGAGGUUGAUCGGCCACAUUGGGACUGAGACACGGCCCAAACUCCUACGGGAGGCAGCAGUAGGGAAUCUUCCACAAUGGACGCAAGUCUGAUGGAGCAACGCCGCGUGAGUGAAGAAGGCUUUCGGGUCGUAAAACUCUGUUGUUGGAGAAGAAUGGUCGGCAGAGUAACUGUUGUCGGCGUGACGGUAUCCAACCAGAAAGCCACGGCUAACUACGUGCCAGCAGCCGCGGUAAUACGUAGGUGGCAAGCGUUAUCCGGAUUUAUUGGGCGUAAAGCGAGCGCAGGCGGUUUUUUAAGUCUGAUGUGAAAGCCCUCGGCUUAACCGAGGAAGCGCAUCGGAAACU
Molecule: ribosomal RNA, 646 nt
Filed under: Lacticaseibacillus casei
Lineage: Bacteria; Bacillati; Bacillota; Bacilli; Lactobacillales; Lactobacillaceae
Description: bacterial SSU rRNA
Rfam family: Bacterial small subunit ribosomal RNA
Source: RNAcentral